This 2756-nucleotide long non-coding RNA is filed under the name Homo sapiens (human). RNAcentral's name for it is "PREDICTED lncRNA (TCONS_00044118)". Lineage: Eukaryota; Metazoa; Chordata; Mammalia; Primates; Hominidae. The record is from RNAcentral.
AAUGUUCUAAGUCACCGGCUCUGGAGCUUCUUUGCACUUUGGAACCAACUUGCGGGAAGGAACUUUAAAAAUACUGAUAUCUCGAUCCAUCCCCAGAGGUUCUGAUUUAAUGGUCUUGGGGAUAUGGCCACGGCAUGAGGACUGUUAAAACUCCGCAGGUGAUUCUUAUGUGCAACAAAGUUUAAGAACCACUGAUGUAGGCCAUGUCGAUGUCAGUCUUCACUUAAAUCCAACAAGACCCCAGAGCUAAAACGUUCACCUGAAAGAAACCCCAUUCCCAGGCCUGCAUACUGACCUGCGCUGGCUCACAAGAAGCAAAGUGGUCCCUUAACAGGGGCUUCCUGGAGAAAAUGUCUUGACCUAAAAGAGUGAUUCGAGCUGCAGGGAUUUAAGAGAGACAGGGCCUUGCUCUGUCACCCAGGCUGAAAUGCAGUGUUGCAAUCUUGGCUCGCUGUAGCCUCAAGCUCUUGGACUCAGGCGAUUCUCCUAUCUCAGCUUCCUAAGUAGCUGGGACUACAGGGCUCAGUGUGGUCAAAAGAAGACUAUAGAAUCAAGGAUGAAGAGAAGGAACACAGAAUAAAAGGACGUCUCAGCAGGAAGCUCUGUGACUACUAUGUCAAAUGAUGCCAUACAGUGAAGCACCUUGAAAGAUUGCUGGGAUAAGCUGACAGCAUGGCAGCCAAAAUAGUGACCCCAGGCUUGCAGGAAUUCUGUGCUUUCUGGAGGAAAUGGUCAUGGGUUUCCCAACCUGCCUUUUAAACUAAGGACCGAGCUGAAGAAGCCCCCGUCUUCCAGCGCAUGUUAUUCCCAUGACAGAUGCUAAAAGUUCAAGGGGAGAGCUACAAGAAGUGCGUUUUCCUGUGGCUACUUUCAUGUCUGGAUGCAAUGCCUAGACCUGCAUCCAUCUUGCGACCAACCUGAAGAUGAACAGAAAGGAAGGAAGGAUGGCCCAAUAGCCUGGGAAGAACUGGUGUUCCUGAUACCAUCAUUAACCACAGAAUCUACAAUCCCGGAACCCCCCAUCCUUAACCAUGGAAUCUACAAUCCUAUCUCUAGACCCUUUGUCCAGAUGCUACAGUUUCUUUGUUCAAUCUAGUUUGUGUCAGGAUUUCUGUUCAUUACAUCAAAAGUAUUCUAAUACUUGUAGCAAAGCAACUGGAGAAGUUUUCACUUUGUCUUUAACCAAAGAAGACUUCCAGGAAACAUCUCCUCAGUGGGUUUCUCCCUCACCACUGGAUUUUUAUCUCUGUACUAGUGCUUUGAUUUGUUUUAGGAGUCUCACCUCUCCACCUGUCAUAUUUCCCUGGCAGGCUCAUUUCUGCUAAUGCCCACAAUAUGUGUAUCAAUGAGCUUUCAACGUUAGGUACACAGCUCUUCAGGCAUGUAUAGCACAUUAAUCUGUCUGCUUCUAAGUGGUCUGUUGACAUGUUUGGGUGCCAGUUAUAUCUACAAGGCUGUGAUCAUUGUCCUGGGUUAUUCUGUUUGUUCUCUCUGCAGGAUGCAUUAGGACACCCAAGGCCAUGGCCAUCACUUACAUCUAGGAUUCAAUCUUAUCUCCUGUGAAUCACUGGAAACCUCCUGUCCUGGAACCCUUUUUUUCCACAUCCCACUGGAUGUCAUUCAUAGCAACUGGUCUUGUGGGUUGUCUAUUUUAUUGUGUUGUCUUACUCUUCCUCCUGGUAUCAGUUUUUAAAUCCUCUUGAUGAGAUCAGCUGAUCAGUCGCUAAGCAACAUAGUCCCCCAUGUCUUUGUAAGAUUCUCUGCACUCAUGGCUAGAAUGAUUUAUUCUGGUAUCUUAAGCUGUGUUUCAGAACCUCAUUCUAAAUAUCAACCUAUUCUUGUAAGUCCACUACUGAUCAUCUUUAGAUAUUCUUCAGUCUUCCAGAGUUCCAAAGGGCAGUAGGAAGAAGCAAUGAAAAUACCACCUGUAUUCUCACAUCUUUCAUUGUUCCACUCAAAAAAUACCACCAUGUUCACUUCUGGUGGAACGUUUAUGUCCAUGAGAAGCAGUGGCUUUGAAGAGUUUUGGCAGACUAUGGCGCCUUACUCAACAUUGGGAAGGGGGGUUCCAACUCUUUUAAGGUCUCAUCUUCAGCACUUCUAAACUGUGGGAAACUAUGUGAAAACAAAUGGAGUGGCCAAACACACCAUUCAUCACUGUGCUUCUGGACAGCUGCAAGUCCAUACGUGUUCUGAUAAUUCAAUACAAGAAAGAAGAUUUGCUUGGGAAGGUCUGAAUGGCCCUAGCUUUGUUUGUUAACCAUAACCUCUACCAGCUGGAAACACAAUGCCCCACUAAUACUAACAGUGCCUGCUUGUCCAAACAGCAUUCUGGCCACUUACAGCAAUUGACACAAAUUCUAACAGGUAGAUGGGGCAAAGCAUUACCUUGUGUAAAACUGCUGCUAAAAUAUAUUCCUAGUGAGAAAGGUCAACUUGUGGGCUAAAGUCCUUGUCACCUCCUGAUCAGUUUUCACUUAGGGCACAGCAGUCUGCCAUUCACCAUUGGGAUCUCUGUGUGUUUCUUCUCUCUUAUGAAAGGACAUAUUGAGCGCUCUAGGACUUGGCUGCCUACAUCAAGUAGAGGGGGACCCUCAUGAUUCACUAAGGGGCCUCAGUUCUGAAUAUUUCUCAUUAUUCAAAAAUGCAAAGCCAUUGUCAUUACGUGGCAGUUUAUUGGAACCAAGGGAGGAAUUGGUCCCUUUUCAUGUUCUUCUCCUAAAUAGAGAAAAGGUAAUUAAAACUUGGAGCUUAAU